UACGGAGGGUGCGAGCGUUAAUCGGAAUAACUGGGCGUAAAGCGCACGCAGGCGGUCUUUUAAGUGAGAUGUGAAAUCCCCGGGCUUAACCUGGGAAUAGCAUUUCAGACUGGGAGUCUAGAGUACUGUAGGGGGGGGUAGAAUUCCACGUGUAGCGGUGAAACGCGUAGAGAUGUGGAGGAAUACCGGUGGCGAAGGCGGCCCCCUGGAAAAGUACUGACGCUCAUGUGCGAAAGCGUGGGGAGCAAACAGG
This 253-nucleotide ribosomal RNA is filed under the name uncultured bacterium. Its description in RNAcentral is "partial 16S ribosomal RNA". It matches the Rfam family "Bacterial small subunit ribosomal RNA", at positions 524 to 776 of the family's 1533-position model. The record is from RNAcentral.